Macrosteles quadrilineatus (aster leafhopper) is the source of this 653-nucleotide long non-coding RNA. RefSeq lists it as uncharacterized. The transcript has 3 exons. The record is from RefSeq and is a predicted model, not a curated record. Lineage: Eukaryota; Metazoa; Arthropoda; Insecta; Hemiptera; Cicadellidae.
CCAUAUUGAAGCGGUAACUUGUAGUAUAAAAACCCCUGCACCGGUGUUCACACCUCACUGAGCAGUGACCUAGACAACAGACGCCACAUCAUGAAAGGAUUUUUGGCAUUAGCUACAUUGCUCUGCUGUCUGGCAUUGGUGGUGUGCACUGUAACCCCUCCCCCUAGUUUGGAGAACUGGGAUCCAAGUAAGCCCAUUGACGCAAAAACCCUAAGUGAAAUGAUCCCAGGGUCAAGGUAUACGGACGAUCCAAGUGUUCGUCCUGAAGAUUUGUUACCCCCUUGCCCUGGCAAGACUAAACGACAUUCUGUAAAGAUAUUUCCGGCGAAUCAGGAUCCUAGUUCACAGGAUAACAAAGGACCAUUGUUCACCAAGCCUGUUGGCUAAGUUAUGUGAGCCCUUCGCCAGGACCACUGAGUUGAAACCAACCGAAAAAAAUCAAUACUUGUUUUUAAUACAAAUUUGUGUUUGGUGUACAACACAACAUCGGCUUUAACGAGAUAAAUAUGAUAGAAAAUAUGUGGAAAAAAUGGAUUGUGUACUACUUUCACACUUUAAAAAAAUUAUGCAAGUAUUUUAAAAUGGUAGAUAUAAAUUGACUAAAUGUAUUGCACAAAAACUAACUAGAGUAUUAAUAAAUAAGUAUAAAAACA